Molecule: ribosomal RNA, 845 nt
Filed under: Saccharomyces cerevisiae (brewer's yeast)
Lineage: Eukaryota; Fungi; Ascomycota; Saccharomycetes; Saccharomycetales; Saccharomycetaceae
Description: eukaryotic LSU rRNA
Rfam family: 5.8S ribosomal RNA (bases 397-550)
Source: RNAcentral
UCCGUAGGUGAACCUGCGGAAGGAUCAUUAAAGAAAUUUAAUAAUUUUGAAAAUGGAUUUUUUUUUUUGUUUUGGCAAGAGCAUGAGAGCUUUUACUGGGCAAGAAGACAAGAGAUGGAGAGUCCAGCCGGGCCUGCGCUUAAGUGCGCGGUCUUGCUAGGCUUGUAAGUUUCUUUCUUGCUAUUCCAAACGGUGAGAGAUUUCUGUGCUUUUGUUAUAGGACAAUUAAAACCGUUUCAAUACAACACACUGUGGAGUUUUCAUAUCUUUGCAACUUUUUCUUUGGGCAUUCGAGCAAUCGGGGCCCAGAGGUAACAAACACAAACAAUUUUAUCUAUUCAUUAAAUUUUUGUCAAAAACAAGAAUUUUCGCAACUGGAAAUUUUAAAAUAUUAAAAACUUUCAACAACGGAUCUCUUGGUUCUCGCAUCGAUGAAGAACGCAGCGAAAUGCGAUACGUAAUGUGAAUUGCAGAAUUCCGUGAAUCAUCGAAUCUUUGAACGCACAUUGCGCCCCUUGGUAUUCCAGGGGGCAUGCCAGUUUGAGCGUCAUUUCCUUCUCAAACAUUCUGUUUGGUAGUGAGUGAUACUCUUUGGAGUUAACUUGAAAUUGCUGGCCUUUUCAUUGGAUGUUUUUUUUCCAAAGAGAGGUUUCUCUGCGUGCUUGAGGUAUAAUGCAAGUACGGUCGUUUUAGGUUUUACCAACUGCGGCUAAUCUUUUUUUAUACUGAGCGUAUUGGAACGUUAUCGAUAAGAAGAGAGCGUCUAGGCGAACAAUGUUCUUAAAGUUUGACCUCAAAUCAGGUAGGAGUACCCGCUGAACUUAAGCAUAUCAAUAAGCGGAGGA